This 468-nucleotide ribosomal RNA is filed under the name uncultured bacterium. Its description in RNAcentral is "bacterial SSU rRNA". It matches the Rfam family "Bacterial small subunit ribosomal RNA", at positions 28 to 486 of the family's 1533-position model. The record is from RNAcentral.
GAUGAACGCUAGCUACAGGCUUAACACAUGCAAGUCGAGGGGCAGCAUGGUCUUAGCUUGCUAAGGCCGAUGGCGACCGGCGCACGGGUGAGUAACACGUAUCCAACCUGCCGUCUACUCUUGGACAGCCUUCUGAAAGGAAGAUUAAUACAAGAUGGCAUCAUGAGUCCGCAUGUUCACAUGAUUAAAGGUAUUCCGGUAGACGAUGGGGAUGCGUUCCAUUAGAUAGUAGGCGGGGUAACGGCCCACCUAGCCAACGAUGGAUAGGGGUUCUGAGAGGAAGGUCCCCCACACUGGAACUGAGACACGGUCCAGACUCCUACGGGAGGCAGCAGUGAGGAAUAUUGGUCAAUGGGCGCGAGCCUGAACCAGCCAAGUCGCGUGAGGGAUGACUGCCCUAUGGGUUGUAAACUUCUUUUAUAAAGGAUAAAGUCGGGUAUGUAUACCCGUUUGCAUGUACUUUAUGAA